This 292-nucleotide ribosomal RNA is filed under the name uncultured prokaryote. RNAcentral describes it as "partial 16S ribosomal RNA". It matches the Rfam family "Bacterial small subunit ribosomal RNA", at positions 505 to 796 of the family's 1533-position model. The record is from RNAcentral.
GUGCCAGCCGCCGCGGUAAUACGGAGGGGGUUAGCGUUGUUCGGAAUUACUGGGCGUAAAGCGCACGUAGGCGGAUUAGUCAGUCAGAGGUGAAAUCCCAGGGCUCAACCUUGGAACUGCCUUUGAUACUGCUAGUCUUGAGUUCGAGAGAGGUGAGUGGAAUUCCGAGUGUAGAGGUGAAAUUCGUAGAUAUUCGGAGGAACACCAGUGGCGAAGGCGGCUCACUGGCUCGAUACUGACGCUGAGGUGCGAAAGCGUGGGGAGCAAACAGGAUUAGAAACCCCAGUAGUCC